GAAUGAAGACUAUGGCUGAUUUGAGCAGACUCUGGUGGUGAAGAUCUUGGUUAUUACUUUUGAGGAAUGGAUGUGCAAUGAUUCAAUUACUCCCUAGUGAGGAAGAUCUUGAUUGCUGUCUUUUUGAGUAAUGAGUGCAGAAACCUAUGUGCCCAUCUCAUCUCAAUCUGAUUGACGCCAUGACCAUGGACUCUUUGGUGUGUUAGCAUGAUAGCUCUUGUGAGUCAUAGUCAAAAUUCUUGUUUUGUUUAAUGAUGUUCUCUGUAUU
Molecule: long non-coding RNA, 268 nt
Organism: Carlito syrichta (Philippine tarsier)
Lineage: Eukaryota; Metazoa; Chordata; Mammalia; Primates; Tarsiidae
Exons: 3
Source: RefSeq, a predicted model, not a curated record